GGAGAAAUGAAGACUGAAGCAAUGUUGUCUCGAAAACAGAUGUGCCCGCAAGGGUACCGGGGGUUCGAAUCCCUCCCUCUCCG
Molecule: transfer RNA, 83 nt
Filed under: Flavobacteriales bacterium
Lineage: Bacteria; Pseudomonadati; Bacteroidota; Flavobacteriia; Flavobacteriales
Description: tRNA-OTHER
Source: RNAcentral